Molecule: non-coding RNA, 1606 nt
Organism: Bactrocera oleae (olive fruit fly)
Lineage: Eukaryota; Metazoa; Arthropoda; Insecta; Diptera; Tephritidae
Source: RefSeq, a predicted model, not a curated record
UACUUUUAUUUUAAUUUUUUCGUUGCUUUUUUCUUCCAAUAAAAUUAAAGCUAAAAUAGCGGAACUCAUUGUAAAUUUAAGUAGAUUUUGUUCGGUAUUUUAUCGAAUGCUCUCACAUUUAUUAAUUUGCAAGUUUUGUCACAUUAGUAAACAGCUGAUUCGAAUAUUGGUUUUGCAUAUGUUCGAAAAGUCUUAAAUCUAAUCAGAUUCUGUGACAACAUUGAAAAUCAAAAUGGGUUUGCAAUUGUGACAACUACGCAAAUCUGUCUUUGAUUCCACCACACCCCUGAUUAUACCAGAGAACGUUGUUCUAAGUUCUCUGAUUAUACUACUAAAAACUCCUUUGAGUUAUGGCGGUGUACUUUCAAAAGCUUCGACAUCUUUGCAACUUAUCCGCCCAUUUAUGAGUCAACAUGCGUUCGAAGGGUUUAUGUCUGGUUUAAGCGUCACUCUGGUGCUUCUUUAGCGAGUUUUCGCUUUCACAAUAGCACACAUUUCUCCGCACCUCAGUCGCGCAAACGCUGCAAUAACAAUGCAUAUAGCUAUGCCAUGGCUGUCAGACCGAAUUCUACUCAAAACAUUCAAAAUUUUAUAAUUAAAAUAGCAUUUUCUCAACAUACACACAACUCGGAGCCAUUAUACUACAGUACACGCGCGCGCUGCCUAUUCCAUUUGACAUCCGCUUUACAUAAAAUUUACUUGACGAAUUUUCGGCUUUUCAGACAGACAGCAAGGCAAUUGCAAAUACUGUCAGACUGAAACUCUAACUUCGUCUGCUCUUACUUGCCUGUGACUUGCAAAUCAGUGUAAGUAAACACUGCUGACGGUGUCAGACAAAAAUUUUAAAAUUAAUGCAGCUCUUGGAUUCCAAACUCGCGUCACAGCGCACUCAUCUCAUGCAAAUCGGCAGCAACAACAACCAGUGUUCACAAUGUCUGCGCCCGUCUGCUGUUUGCAGGCGAAAUCUUCACCGCAAACAGCAAAUGACUGCCAGCGGCCAUCGAGCACUGCGUAUGGUAAGCACUCGUGCGCUGUGAACCGCAAGUACAAGUUAAAGCGCUCUGCAAAUAACUUUUUAAAGCAAUGACGCGACGUCACGAAGGCGACAGCGCGUAGCGGUUCAAAAGCCAAGGCGAGCGUUAAUGGAAAUGUUGAUGUGCACGUGUUGCUUGGUGUUGUUGUUGUGUUGGUCAGACAAGGCACGCGUCGCAAGCCUAUACACAUACAUCGUUGAGCGCCGGUCAACUGAAAUGGGUGAGCGCAAGUGAAAUUAUGUGAGUGCGGACAGAGUAAAAACAAAGCAACAAAUAUGUGCGUGCGCGUGUGCGUGUGUAUGUGUUUUGAGCGUGAAAUGCAAACGAGCGACAAGGUCGAAUGAAUGACUUGAGGAACGCCGCAUAAGCAAGGGAAAUCGAAGACGAAAUUUCGGCAGCCAUACAGAGAAAACUGCACAGAGUCGGUGUGAGAGCGCAGAAACACAAUGGUAUAAGUUAAUUUGAUGAGACUUUGUGUAUGUAGUGUAAUUCUUCUUUUAAUAUUUAUUCAAAUUGUGUAAGUUCUACUUUUAUUUGCACUAAUUUUUGACUGCGCCAUAUUUUCAACUUUA